RNAcentral lists this ribosomal RNA (672 nucleotides) under Cortinarius cf. umbrinolens MLB-2010l. RNAcentral's name for it is "eukaryotic LSU rRNA". It matches the Rfam family "Eukaryotic large subunit ribosomal RNA", at positions 1 to 653 of the family's 3401-position model. Lineage: Eukaryota; Fungi; Basidiomycota; Agaricomycetes; Agaricales; Cortinariaceae. The record is from RNAcentral.
GUGACCUCAAAUCAGGUAGGACUACCCGCUGAACUUAAGCAUAUCAAUAAGCGGAGGAAAAGAAACUAACAAGGAUUCCCCUAGUAACUGCGAGUGAAGCGGGAAAAGCUCAAAUUUAAAAUCUGGCAGUCUUUUGGCUGUCCGAGUUGUAAUCUAGAGAAGUGUUAUCCGCGCUGGACCGUGUACAAGUCUCCUGGAAUGGAGCAUCAUAGAGGGUGAGAAUCCCGUCUUUGACAUGGACUGCCAGGGCUUUGUGAUGCGCUCUCAAAGAGUCGAGUUGUUUGGGAAUGCAGCUCAAAAUGGGUGGUAAAUUCCAUCUAAAGCUAAAUAUUGGCGAGAGACCGAUAGCGAACAAGUACCGUGAGGGAAAGAUGAAAAGAACUUUGGAAAGAGAGUUAAACAGUACGUGAAAUUGCUGAAAGGGAAACGCUUGAAGUCAGUCACGUCGUCCAGGGAUCAACCUUGCUUUUGCUUGGUGCACUUUCUGGUUUGACGGGUCAGCAUCAAUUUUGACCAUUGGAAAAAGGCCAAGGGAAUGUGGCAUCUUUGGAUGUGUUAUAGCUCUUGGUCACAUACAAUGGUUGGGAUUGAGGAACUCAGCACGCCGCAAGGCCGGGUUUUAAACCACGUUCGUGCUUAGGAUGCUGGCAAUAUGGCUUUAAUCGACCCGUC